RNAcentral lists this ribosomal RNA (482 nucleotides) under uncultured bacterium. RNAcentral describes it as "partial 16S ribosomal RNA". It matches the Rfam family "Bacterial small subunit ribosomal RNA", at positions 30 to 507 of the family's 1533-position model. The record is from RNAcentral.
AUUGAACGCUGGCGGCAUGCCUUACACAUGCCAGUCGAACGGUAACGGGCCUUCGGCUGCCGACGAGUGGCGAACGGGUGAGUAAUACAUCGGAACGUGCCCGAUCGUGGGGGAUAACGAGGCGAAAGCUUUGCUAAUACCGCAUACGAUCUACGGAUGAAAGCAGGGGACCGCAAGGCCUUGCGCGGACGGAGCGGCCGAUGGCAGAUUAGGUAGUUGGUGGGAUAAAAGCUUACCAAGCCGACGAUCUGUAGCUGGUCUGAGAGGAUGAUCAGCCACACUGGGACUGAGACACGGCCCAGACUCCUACGGGAGGCAGCAGUGGGGAAUUUUGGACAAUGGGCGCAAGCCUGAUCCAGCCAUGCCGCGUGCAGGAUGAAGGCCUUCGGGUUGUAAACUGCUUUUGUACGGAACGAAAAGCCUUCUUUUAAUACAGGAGGGUCAUGACGGUACCGUAAGAAUAAGCACCGGCUAACUACGUG